AGUGAACGCUGGCGGUAGGCCUAACACAUGCAAGUCGAACGGCAGCACAGUAAGAGCUUGCUCUUCCGGGUGGCGAGUGGCGGACGGGUGAGGAAUACAUCGGAAUCUACUUUUUCGUGGGGGAUAACGUAGGGAAACUUACGCUAAUACCGCAUACGACCUACGGGUGAAAGCAUGGGAUCUUCGGACCUUGCGCGAUUGAAUGAGCCGAUGUCGGAUUAGCUAGUUGGCGGGGUAAAGGCCCACCAAGGCGGCGAUCCGUAGCUGGUCGGAGAGGAUGAUCAGCCACACUAGAACUGAGACACGGUCCAGACUCCUACGGGAGGGAGCAGUGGGGAAUAGUGGACAAUGGGCGCAAGCCUGAUCCAGCCAUACCGCGUGGGUGAAGAAGGCCUUCGGGUUGUAAAGCCCUUUUGUUGGGAAAGAAAAGCAGCAGGUUAAUACCCCGCUGUUCUGACGGUACCCAAAGAAUAAGCACCGGCUAACUUCGUG
RNAcentral lists this ribosomal RNA (492 nucleotides) under uncultured bacterium. RNAcentral's name for it is "partial 16S ribosomal RNA". It matches the Rfam family "Bacterial small subunit ribosomal RNA", at positions 29 to 507 of the family's 1533-position model. The record is from RNAcentral.